GCCCUCGUGGCGCAAUGGUAGCGCGUCGCUUUCCUAAGGCGAAGUGUGCGGGUUCGAUCCCCGUCGUGGGUU
This 72-nucleotide transfer RNA is filed under the name Flammulina velutipes KACC42780. Its description in RNAcentral is "tRNA-Arg (CCT) (tRNA-Arg-CCT-1-1, tRNA-Arg-CCT-1-2)". It matches the Rfam family "tRNA". Rfam says of the family: Transfer RNA (tRNA) molecules are approximately 80 nucleotides in length. Lineage: Eukaryota; Fungi; Basidiomycota; Agaricomycetes; Agaricales; Physalacriaceae. The record is from RNAcentral.